This 253-nucleotide ribosomal RNA is filed under the name uncultured bacterium. Its description in RNAcentral is "partial 16S ribosomal RNA". It matches the Rfam family "Bacterial small subunit ribosomal RNA", at positions 524 to 776 of the family's 1533-position model. The record is from RNAcentral.
UACGUAGGGGGCAAGCGUUGUCCGGAAUCAUUGGGCGUAAAGCGCGUGUAGGCGGUCCGGUAAGUCGGCUGUGAAAGUCCAGGGCUCAACCCUGGGAUGCCGGUCGAUACUGCCGGACUAGAGUUCGGAAGAGGCGAGUGGAAUUCCCGGUGUAGCGGUGUAAUGCGCAGAUAUCGGGAGGAACACCAAUGGCGAAGGCAGCUCGCUGGGACGUUACUGACGCUGAGACGCGAAAGCGUGGGGAGCAAACAGG